This 29-nucleotide non-coding RNA is filed under the name Cricetulus griseus (Chinese hamster). Lineage: Eukaryota; Metazoa; Chordata; Mammalia; Rodentia; Cricetidae. The record is from RNAcentral.
AUAACUAUGAUAUGACAGCAGGUAUUGUG